Molecule: ribosomal RNA, 292 nt
Filed under: uncultured bacterium
Lineage: Bacteria
Description: partial 16S ribosomal RNA
Rfam family: Bacterial small subunit ribosomal RNA
Source: RNAcentral
GUGCCAGCAGCCGCGGUAAUACGGAGGGGACUAGCGUUGUUCGGAAUUACUGGGCGUAAAGCGCGCGUAGGCGGAUUUGCAAGUCGGGGGUGAAAUCCCGAGGCUCAACCUCGGAACUGCCUUCGAUACUGCAAAUCUCGAGUCCGGAAGAGGUGAGUGGAAUUCCUAGUGUAGAGGUGAAAUUCGUAGAUAUUAGGAAGAACACCAGUGGCGAAGGCGGCUCACUGGUCCGGUACUGACGCUGAGGCGCGAAAGCGUGGGGAGCAAACAGGAUUAGAAACCCUCGUAGUCC